Molecule: ribosomal RNA, 573 nt
Filed under: Triticum aestivum (bread wheat)
Lineage: Eukaryota; Viridiplantae; Streptophyta; Magnoliopsida; Poales; Poaceae
Description: partial small subunit ribosomal RNA
Source: RNAcentral
AUGGCCAAGGAGGACCCCACGGCGGAGCACGGCCUCAAGCUUGCCAUCAAAGACUAUCCGUUCGCUAAUGAUGGGCUCCUCAUCUGGGACGCCGUCAAGGGGUGGCUCCUGGCAUACGUCUCCCGGUAUUACCCGGACGCUGCCACCAUGGCCAGCGAGACGUGGAGCUACAGGCGUUCUGGAAGGAGUUGGGUGGCGGCGGCGCACCACACGGCGGUCAACUUCGGGCAGUAUGACUUCGGGGGACACUUCCCGAACCGCCCCUCCAUCGCGCGCACCAACAUGCCGGUUGAGAAGUUCCUGGACAAACCGGACCAGGCGCUCCGAGAAUGCUUCCCGUCGCAGGUGCAGGCAAAGCUGGUGAUGACGGUGUUAGAUGUGUUGUCCAAUCACUCUCCUGACGAGGAGUACCUCGGAGGGAUGGAGAGCGCACCGCGGGGCGGCGACACCAUGGUGCAUGCGGCCUACCUGAGGUUUGUCUUAAGGAGGUGGACGGGAUCAUCGACGGAAGGAACAAGGACAGGAAGCUCAAGAACCGGUGCCGCGUCGGCAUCGUGCCGUAGCAGCUCAUGA